UCUUGUCGCAGCGGGAGACACGGGCUUUUCCCGCGCGCCUCCGGGGCCGGUGGGCCGCUAAUUCUCUGCACCUUUUGGCUUCAAAGUUCAAGCGUCUUCCCUGCCCAAACCGGCACCUCUUCCCGCUUCUGCUGUUGCUGCUGCUGCUGCCCCAAUGCUGCCGAGGUGGCUCUCUGGCGGCCCGGUCAACUAUGUGCGAAAAUAAGGGAGGGUAGGGCUGUUCUCCUCAGGUUAUCUGAGCCCGCAAGCAAAAAAAAAACCUGAUGAAGUUGAAACAAUUCUCCUUGAUUUGUAUAAAGCCCUCCUAGAAGAGUGACCCCGGAUUGCAAGCCAGGAUCCUUGGCAAUGAUGAACUUCUGACAUCACGCGCAGGCUUGAAAGGUGGACCCGCAUUCUCCUUUGUGACAUCGCUCACCAGUCCGCUAGGGGCGUGCCGCGGGUUCCAAGUGGUGGCAAAGUCUUGGCAGAAUCUCUGAAGAUUACUUUGGAUGUUAAUGAAGAAAAGAGAAACAGCAACAGGGAAAAAAAGAAAAGAAAAACAUCAAGGAAAUUGAGACCAUACUCCGAAAGAAACAGAGGGAGUUUGAAGAGGUGAUUAUCCGGAAACACGAGAGGAGACAUGUCAGGCAUAAGGAACCAGAAUGACAUCAUGAGAUGAUCAAGCUUAUAUAUUUAUUGCUGCAUGCCUAUUUACAAGAAUCUACACAAAUUGACUGCAUUUUCUUCGGAAUGGCCAGAUAAUGGUUUCAGAGAUUCUGGGGGAGGUAAGAUCUCUGUUGCUUCACAUCUUCUCCCACUGUAACUGGAGAUUCCAUCACAGAACAAGAGAAUUUGGAAUUUUCAGCAUACUCAAGUCACACCACAGAUGGGCUGAAUGUGAAGGAUGCUCAGACUUAGACUGAAAGCACAAGGACUUGGCAAAGGAAUGGAACAAGAAUGAGGCAAAAAUGUGUCUGUGGAGGAGAUGCUGCAAAGUCAAGCUUCAAAAAACUCUGCUCCUGUAGAGGAAGAAAUAAAGACAAUUUCAGUGCUGCAAAUGACUUGGGUUUUGUGCUGACAUUCCAAUACUCCCACUCCUAUAUUCUUCCCAUUACAAACUUUGCAAGAUGGAUACAAAUAGGCAUCCAGGGUGCAAACAAUCCAGAUAUAUAAGAGUUGGAUAAAAACAGUCUCUCCAACCUCUAUGACUUUGGUCAUAAGAAGGAUAUUUUAAUAAUGAAACAAGAAAAGGGUAUCACAAAAAUUCCUAUUUUGUCUCUUCAACCAGGUUCUGACAAUCCUUUCUACCUCUUCAGGCAAAUACCCACAGAGAUAUUGCUUCAAUCAGGGAAAAGGUGGGAGUUCCAGUAAAAGGGAAUAUCUGUAGCUCAGGGUUAAAUUGUAAAGUCCUUGGUGUUCUCUGACCUUGAUGUAUAUAAUGAGAGCUGCAUAAGGUGGAAGUUGCCUGGCUCAAAGUCUGGACUAAAUGACAGAGAAAUUAAGACUGUAAGAUCCAAUUUUGCAGUGAUUUCUUGAGGGCUGAGAUGAAAUCUAUCAUUGUCAUGUGACAGCAAAAUUUCUUUCCUGUUUCCAAAUGUUUCUUAAUUGUUUUUUCUAAGUUUUGGAUGUUGCCUGUAA
Molecule: long non-coding RNA, 1617 nt
Organism: Crotalus tigris (Tiger rattlesnake)
Lineage: Eukaryota; Metazoa; Chordata; Lepidosauria; Squamata; Viperidae
Exons: 4
Source: RefSeq, a predicted model, not a curated record